AAGUCGUAACAAGGUUUCCGUAGGUGAACCUGCGGAAGGAUCAUUAAUGAGAUAGGGUCCUUCGGGGCCCGACCUCCAACCCAUAUCUACCUCACCACUGUUGCCUCGGCGGGACGCCGACGCCCCCUAAGAAGGGCGCUGGCCGAAGGCUUAGGCCCUCGAGCGCCCGUCGGUGGACUAAUGAAAACCCAUUUAAUGAAGCCUUCUGAGAGUAUUAUACAAUACAUUAAAA
Molecule: unclassified non-coding RNA, 232 nt
Filed under: plant metagenome
Description: partial contains small subunit ribosomal RNA and internal transcribed spacer 1
Rfam family: Eukaryotic small subunit ribosomal RNA (bases 1-46)
Source: RNAcentral